This 218-nucleotide ribosomal RNA is filed under the name uncultured bacterium. Its description in RNAcentral is "partial 16S ribosomal RNA". It matches the Rfam family "Bacterial small subunit ribosomal RNA", at positions 15 to 225 of the family's 1533-position model. The record is from RNAcentral.
GAUCAUGCUCAGGAUGAACGCUAGCUACAGGCUUAACACAUGCAAGUCGAGGGGCAGCAUGGUCUUAGCUUGCUAAGACUGAUGGCGACCGGCGCACGGGUGAGUAACACGUAUCCAACCUGCCGUCUACUCUUGGACAGCCUUCUGAAAGGAAGAUUAAUACAAGAUGGCAUCAUGAGUCCGCAUGUUCACAUGAUUAAAGGUAUUCCGGUAGACGA